AUAUUGUUGGAGAAGAGAAUCAUGGAGAUAUUUUAGAUGCAAUGAAUCCAACAAUUGCAAUAAAACAGCAUGCCUACAGAAACUCUGUACGAUAACAUGUUCCCUUAAAAUCUGAAAGCUUCCCCUGAGAAAAAGAGGAAGGCACUGUCAGAGACCCCAUGCCUUCUGAUCACCAAGAGCUCCUAGCCCCUGCUGGAGGUGGUCACCUCCCCAGGGAAGGAGAGCAGGCUGGGAUGCUGCUUUUAUGUGGUGAAGAAAUGUUAGUUGCUUGCUGGCCAAGGGGUUGAGGAAGUGAGUAUUGUGGUUAACUUGUGGAAGCUCACAGAAUUGCCUCAAAACCUGUCUAGUCUCCUGCCUUGUCUUCCCCCAGCUAUCAAGGUCCAAUGUAGCUGAUUCCAAUGAAACAGUUGGUUGCAGUGCCAGAGCUGCUGUAGUUUCUUCACUGUCUGAAGUAAUUCUAGAACAGAACUAAAAUGAUUUGACCCAUGCUGCGCUGUUCUGUCAUUUGACUGUGGAAUCCGAUUAGGACUGAAUUCAGCUGUGGUUAUCUAUCUAGCAAACUAUGUGUGUGCUUUGGGAAGGUGCCUGGGGCGAAAAGGUAGUGUAUGUGUUCUCCUGUGAUGGACAGGGCUAUCUAGACAGGAGUUCUAGAGACAAAAAUUACCCAACUCACACAGAAACAGCAACGAUGUGCUAAUUUAAACAUCCUGGACUGACAAGAGCAUAUUGUUUAAAAUUCAUCCUGACAGAAAAAUGUGGAAAACUCUGAAUUCUCCAGGGAAAUUUUUCAUAAUUUCUAAGUUAUUUUAUUCAUUAUCCCUCUGAUAUUCAAAUGAAAAAAAA
Molecule: long non-coding RNA, 843 nt
Organism: Oxyura jamaicensis (ruddy duck)
Lineage: Eukaryota; Metazoa; Chordata; Aves; Anseriformes; Anatidae
Exons: 5
Source: RefSeq, a predicted model, not a curated record